CGUACGGGAGGCAGCAGUGGGGAAUAUUGCACAAUGGGCGAAAGCCUGAUGCAGCGACGCCGCGUGGGGGAUGACGGUCUUCGGAUUGUAAACCCCUUUCAGUAGGGACGAAGCGCAAGUGACGGUACCUGCAG
Molecule: ribosomal RNA, 134 nt
Filed under: uncultured Dietzia sp.
Lineage: Bacteria; Bacillati; Actinomycetota; Actinomycetes; Mycobacteriales; Dietziaceae
Description: partial 16S ribosomal RNA
Rfam family: Bacterial small subunit ribosomal RNA
Source: RNAcentral